AUUCCCUUUUGUUUUUAUUUCCAUUUCCUUUCAGCUUUUCCCAUUCCUUUUUUCAUUUCACGUUUCAUUUCUCUUCUCUGCUCGCCUUCAAUUUUUGAUGUCGGACAUCUUACGGUCCAGCCACAAGCACUCACGACUCAGUUGCCGAAAAUAACGUCACACGGUUCAUCCAUCACCAAGAACUCACGAGCUGCUCUUUUUCGUUCUCUUUGGGAAAAACUCCAAAUCUCUUUUUAUUUUAACUUUUUAGGUUUAGUUGUUUAUGGGAUGUGACUAUAUAUGACAAAAACAAAUCAAUAGAAUGAUGCAAUACCUUUUUUAGAUUGUUUAUGUUAUGUAAUACCUUUUUUAUAACAAGUUUAGUUUGAUAAUAAUCAUUUUGAUAGUUUAGUUUGAUAAUAACCAUUUUGAUAGUGAUUAGUAGAUGUAGAGUUGAUAAUAACAAUUUUAGGUUUAGAAGUUAUGUGAUUUUUUUGUGAUGUAAUGUCUUGUUUUUUCUUUCACUAAGCUUAUGAUAAUGGGUGGUUCUUAACAAUGUGACACUCAAGUGUUUAGGAAAUGUAAGGACUUUGAAGGAGCACAAAAGGUGUUUGAUGAAAUACUUCAAAGAGGAGUAAAGCCAAAUAACAUUACAUUUACUACUAUGAUUAAUUUUGCUAGAAUGACUUGAUAAGGCUGUUGAGUGGUUUGAGAAAAUGUCGGAUUUUGGGUGUGAACCUGAUGCUAUCACUUGCUCGACUAUGGUGUGUGCUUUUGCGCGUACUAAUCAUGUUGAUAUGGCUCGACGUUUAUAUGAUCGUCCAACAGUGGAGAAAUGGAUAAUAAUUAAAGACCAAGGAACUAGGAAGCAAACAUUAGGCCUAUCCACAAAUUAAUCUACACUGUAGUUCGGAGUCUUCCCACCCUUGUUUGGAGACACCACAAUUCAAAAGUAAACGCAAGUUCUAAUUCUCAUAAUUAACGAGUAAAGUUCACCUUGA
This is a long non-coding RNA of Cicer arietinum (chickpea), 980 nucleotides long. RefSeq lists it as uncharacterized. The record is from RefSeq and is a predicted model, not a curated record. NCBI's taxonomy places the organism in Eukaryota, Viridiplantae, Streptophyta, Magnoliopsida, Fabales, Fabaceae.